RNAcentral lists this ribosomal RNA (495 nucleotides) under uncultured bacterium. RNAcentral describes it as "partial 16S ribosomal RNA". It matches the Rfam family "Bacterial small subunit ribosomal RNA", at positions 28 to 507 of the family's 1533-position model. The record is from RNAcentral.
GACGAACGCUGGCGGCGUGCCUAAUACAUGCAAGUAGAACGCUGAAGGAGGAGCUUGCUUCUCUGGAUGAGUUGCGAACGGGUGAGUAACGCGUAGGUAACCUGCCUGGUAGCGGGGGAUAACUAUUGGAAACGAUAGCUAAUACCGCAUAAGAGUAGAUGUUGCAUGACAUUUACUUAAAAGGUGCAAUUGCAUCACUACCAGAUGGACCUGCGUUGUAUUAGCUAGUUGGUGAGGUAACGGCUCACCAAGGCAACGAUACAUAGCCGACCUGAGAGGGUGAUCGGCCACACUGGGACUGAGACACGGCCCAGACUCCUACGGGAGGCAGCAGUAGGGAAUCCUCGGCAAUGGACGGAAGUCUGACCGAGCAACGCCGCGUGAGUGAAGAAGGUUUUCGGAUCGUAAAGCUCUGUUGUAAGAGAAGAACGAGUGUGAGAGUGGAAAGUUCACACUGUGACGGUAUCUUACCAGAAAGGGACGGCUAACUACGUG